Molecule: long non-coding RNA, 980 nt
Filed under: Equus caballus (horse)
Lineage: Eukaryota; Metazoa; Chordata; Mammalia; Perissodactyla; Equidae
Description: lncRNA (ENSECAG00000057239.1)
Source: RNAcentral
UGUAAAAAUACAUCAAGAUGCGUCCUUGAGGUUCGUGUAAACUGUGUAGAUUAUAAAACAAAACUUAAAAUCUCCUUUAAGCUCCUGAGGAGCCCAGGGCCAUUGUUUCUGACAUGCUGCCUCCGCCCUUCCCCCUCCAAACCCUUCCCCCACGGCAGCCAGCGCGACUUUUAAAACAUAGAUCAGGCCACUCUCCUAUUUAAAACUCUCGGGUGGGGGUGUCUUCUCAUUGGAAUAAAGUCCAAACUCCAAUAAAAUCCCAAAUCCAUGACCAAAAGGGUCCAACCAGAUCAGGCCAGGCCCUGCCCUCCGACCCCGGGGCCUCUGUGCUGGCCGCCAGCUCCCCUCUGUCCCUCGGGCUUGGAAGCCCCCGCUUGCUCGCGGGUAGCGUGUACCUCCUGCGUGUCACCCUGGGGGGCUUUCUUGGCUUCUCUUGUCACCUGGGUCUGAGCUCAGAUGUCCCCUCCUCACGGUGACCAGACGCCCACCGGGCCCCAUGCUGUUCGCCCCAUCACCCCAGUGCUUCCUCUCAGACUCCAGCCAGUGUCUGAGGAGGAGCUGGCCUGCAUCGUUAGGGGACGCAGCCCACCUCGCGCUCUGAGAGUCAUUCUCACCCAGCAGGCCGUCCCUCUGUUCCUGUGUCCGCCCGCGGCUGAGCGCGGGGCUGCUGCAUGGCCCUGACCCUUUCACCGACGGAGUCUGCGGUCUUUCCAAAGGAUGUUCUCAGGACGGACACAGGCCUCCAAGACCCACCUGCCGUCCCCGCUGAGGGGCACAUGGCCCGUCCUGACCUCGAGGCGAUUCUUGGAAGGCGACUUAGGUCGUGGCUCAAGUGGGAAAGCAAGCCUGUGGCCGGGAAGGUCAGCUCCAUGAGAGGGGCCUUUCAGCUCUGCAUCCAGAGGUCGGGAAGAGCGCCUGAGAUUCUAGCUCUGAGACACCAAGUCAUCUCCCAUCUCCACUGACGUGGAUACAGCCAAUUG